CAUGUGGCUCAGUAGGUAGAGCGUCGCCUUGGUAAGGCGGAGGUCGUCGGUUCAAAUCCGAUCAUG
Molecule: transfer RNA, 66 nt
Filed under: uncultured Clostridium sp.
Lineage: Bacteria; Bacillati; Bacillota; Clostridia; Eubacteriales; Clostridiaceae
Rfam family: tRNA
About the family: Transfer RNA (tRNA) molecules are approximately 80 nucleotides in length. Their secondary structure includes four short double-helical elements and three loops (D, anti-codon, and T loops).
Source: RNAcentral